GACGAACGCUGGCGGUGUGCUUAACACAUGCAAGUCGAACGGUAAGGCCCUUUCGGGGGUACGCGAGUGGCGAACGGGUGAGUAACACGUGAGUAACCUGCCCUCAUCUCUGGGAUAACAGUCGGAAACGGUUGCUAAUACUGGAUAUGAGCUUGCAAGGCAUCUUGUGGGUUGGAAAGAUUUUUUUUGGUUGGGGAUGGACGCGCGGCCUAUCAGCUUGUUGGUGAGGUAGUGGCUCACCAAGGCUUCGACGGGUAGCCGGCCUGAGAGGGCGACCGGCCACAUUGGGACUGAGAUACGGCCCAAACUCCUACGGGGGGCAGCAGUGGGGAAUAUUGCACAAUGGACGGCAGUCUGAUGCAGCAACGCCGCGUGCGGGAUGACGGCCUUCGGGUUGUAAACCGCUUUCAAUUGUGACGAAGCUUUUUUGUGACGGUAGCAGUAGAAGAAGCACCGGCUAACUACGUG
Molecule: ribosomal RNA, 468 nt
Filed under: uncultured bacterium
Lineage: Bacteria
Description: partial 16S ribosomal RNA
Rfam family: Bacterial small subunit ribosomal RNA
Source: RNAcentral